This 1202-nucleotide ribosomal RNA is filed under the name uncultured organism. RNAcentral describes it as "bacterial SSU rRNA". It matches the Rfam family "Bacterial small subunit ribosomal RNA", at positions 48 to 1227 of the family's 1533-position model. The record is from RNAcentral.
UUAAGACAUGCAAGUCGUGCGAGAAAGCUCCUUCGGGAGUGAGUAAAGCGGCGCACGGGUGAGUAACGCGUGGGUAAUCUGCCCUUAGGUUUGGGAUAACCCCGGGAAACCGGAGCUAAUACCGAAUAAGACCACGAUGACCUCGGUUGACGUGAGAAAAGAUGGCCUCUUCUUGAAAGCUAUCGCCAAAGGAUGAGCCCGCGUUUGAUUAGCUUGUUGGUGAGGUAAAGGCUCACCAAGGCUCCGAUCAAUAGCUGGUCUGAGAGGAUGAUCAGCCACACUGGAACUGAGACACGGUCCAGACUCCUACGGGAGGCAGCAGUCGGGAAUAUUGGGCAAUGGGCGAAAGCCUGACCCAGCAACGCCGCGUGAAGGAUGAAGGCCUUCGGGUCGUAAACUUCUGUCGAGAGGGAAGAAAGCGUGCGGGUGAAUAAUCCGUACGUCUGACGGUACCUCCAAAGGAAGCACCGGCUAACUCCGUGCCAGCAGCCGCGGUAAUACGGAGGGUGCAAGCGUUGUUCGGAAUUAUUGGGCGUAAAGCGAGUGUAGGCGGUUUGGCAAGUCGGAUGUGAAAGCCCAGGGCCCAACCCUGGAAUUGCAUCCGAUACUGUCAGGCUAGAGUCCCGGAGAGGGUGGCGGAAUUCCCGGUGUAGGGGUGAAAUCCGUAGAUAUCGGGAGGAACACCAGUGGCGAAGGCGGCCACCUGGACGGUGACUGACGCUGAGACUCGAAAGCGUGGGUAGCAAACAGGAUUAGAUACCCUGGUAGUCCACGCCGUAAACGGUGAGUGCUCGUCGUCGUGGGUAUUGACCCCUGCGGUGACCAAGUUAACGCAUGAAGCACUCCGCCUGGGAAGUACGGUCGCAAGACUAAAACUCAAAGAAAUUGACGGGGGCCCGCACAAGCGGUGGAGCAUGUUGUUUAAUUCGAAGCAACGCGCAGAACCUUACCUGGAUUUGACAUCCUCGGAAUCUCUCUGAAAGGAGAGAGUGCCUUCGGGAGCCGAGAGACAGGUGCUGCAUGGCUGUCGUCAGCUCGUGUCGUGAGGUGUUGGGUUAAGUCCCGCAACGAGCGCAACCCCUAUCGUUAGUUGCUAGCAGUUCGGCUGAGCACUCUAGCGAGACUGCCGGUGUUAAACCGGAGGAAGGUGGGGAUGACGUCAAGUCCUCAUGGCCUUUAUGUCCAGGGCUACUAACGUGCUA